AUCUUGAUUUGGGGUUCUCUUAUUUUUUGAUUGAACAGAUUCUAUGUGGACGGAACGCCCAUUAGAGAAUACAAGAAUAGUGAAUCAAUGGGAGUUUCAUAUCCGAAGAACCAACCAAUGAGGAUUUACUCAAGUCUUUGGAAUGCAGAUGAUUGGGCUACAAGAGGAGGACUUGUCAAGACUGAUUGGAGCCAAGCACCCUUUAGUGCUUCUUACAGAAACUUCAGUGCUAAUGCUUGUAUUCCCAGUUCUUCAUCUUCUUGCAAUUCCAAUACUACAACUUCAACAAGCAAUUCAUGGUUGAAUGAAGAGUUAGAUAGCACAAGCCAAGAGAGGCUUAAAUGGGUGCAGAAGAAUUACAUGGUCUAUAAUUACUGCACUGAUUCUAAGCGAUUUCCACAAGGAUUUCCAGUAGAUUGUGUUCAGAAUAACUGAGCAUUUAUAGUGAAAAAAUAGUGUAUUCUCUUAAAUAUUUUUUAUCUCUAGAACUAUUGUAAUGAUUCUUUUAUUGUUUUGUACCCAUCAGUAGAAGAUGCAAUAAUUAUUGAGGAUUAGAAACAUCUUAGUUUUGUACUAAGUUUAUAUAAACAAUGAAAUAGAUAUUUUCUUUUAUACUUUGUGUUUUGGAUAUGUUUUUUUUUCUUUUUAAUCAAAUUUGACCCAAUGGGCCAAUUUUAUUGAUAAAUAUGUCGGAGGAAUUUUCACAUAUAGCCACUAAAAAUAACCUAAUUACUCUCCAUAACUAUAGUUUGAUAAUUGCAAUUUGUAGCUACAUGUUAUAUGAGGAGAGAUGCGAGCGAGACUGGGAGAGAGAGGAGAGAGGCGAGCGAGAGAAGGCAAAGAGUGGGAGAGAGGUAAAUUGUACAUAUAUAUAUAUCAGUUAGAUAAUUGUAUAUUAUACAUAUGUAUUUGUAUAUCCUGGCGAAUUAUACAUAUACAAACGUGGAGAAUUAUACAAACUCGAAGUCAGCUCACGUAAUUAAUGUAUAAUGUUAGUCACGAGUGAUAAUUAUAGCAAAUUAUAGCUAUGAUGAGUAAUUAAAUAAUAUAAAUUUGCUUAACCGCAUAAUUUUUCCUAUAUGGAAACAAUAAAGCUGAAAAGGAGGUCCAAAAUGAACAGCCUAAAGCCUAAAAAAUACUCUCUCUGUCCCUAUUUAUUUGUCCAUUUUUCACUUUAUAGUUGUCCCUAAUUACUUAUCCAUUUUGACAAAUCAAGAAAAAAUAUAUUUUUUUAACUUUUUGAAAAUAUUAAUUUUUUAAUUCAUCCACUUCAUAAUUAAUAGGGGUAAAAUGGUAAACUCACUAUGUCAAUAAUUAUUUUUUAAAUAAAUGUGUUAAUUCAAAAGCAGACAAAUAAUUAGGGAUAGAGGGAGUAAGAUGGAAAACAAAAAAAUCUAGAUUUAUCGUCUACAUCUUCUUUGCAUUUAGAAAAGUAACUCUUCACCUUCUAUAUAUCACUCAUGGCAGCAUCAAGUUCUUUUAACUUAGUCCUAUCUCUGAUGUAUCUUAAUUCAUCAAUACGUCGAGUAUCUCCCUUAUAACGUUUGUAAAAAGUCGAUUCAUCUAUCUACCUUCCCACAUCUAAUCGUCUUUAUUUUUUACUUUCAAAUCUUAAGAAUGGAUACAGGGCCGGCUCUGUGGUUUGGAAAAUAAGGCCUUUGCCUUAGGCCCCAAAUUUCGGGGCCCCAAAUUUUUAUCAAGAAUAAAUUAUGUCCUAAAAUUUUUAUAGAAAAAAUUGAUUAUUUAUGAUAAAAGGUGUAAUUUUUUUUAAAAUAAAUUAUUUUAUCCACUUUAACAUUUUUUGUAUUGUGUUAAAAAUAAGAAUUAAUAGUGAAAAGUGUUGAACAAAGUGAAUUACAAAUUCUUUUUUAUUUCUUUUUAAAUUUUAGUUUCAAGCAUUACUACAAGCAUAUUAAAAUGAGGUAUACCAAGUCAUCAACUUUUUGAGUCAAAUUCUAUAGUUCUAACUCUUAUCUUUAUUUAAUAUUUAUCAACUUAUCACUUAUAGCAUUAUGUUAACAAUACAUAUAAUAAUUGCCUCACUUAAAUGAUGUUUUUCAAUGUUGAGUUGAUAAAAUCUUAUCUAAAACUAGUAACUGAAAAAAUAAUAUAUACUAUUAAAUACUAAUGAUUUUCAUCUAAAUAGUAUAAGAAAAAUAAUUUUUGAAUAAAUACGUAUAUAAAGUUUAGUUAUAUUUUAGGCCGCGAAUUGAAAUUUCGCUUUAGAUCUCCAAUUACGUUGAGCCGCCCCUGAAUGGAUAACAAGUUUCGGUGGUCCUCCAUACUCGUACUACCUCAUGUAAAUUGAUCUUUCCUUUGUUUUUCCGCAUAUGACCUCCAAUUCACCUUUGAUUCGAUUGAAGUUUUUAUGUGUUCUUGAUAGAUUCAGCUCCAUGCGCCGUUGUGUUAAUUGUGCUAUUUUUUGUCCUUUCACAAAAUCAUGAAUAAAAUAACAUUGUUUAUUGCUUCUCUUGAAAGCUAUCAUAAUAUAAAUAUUGUUGUUUGUGGUUGAUUGGAGAAUUACUAUUCAACUUUAUAUAAUUGGAGAUUAGAGGUGAAAUAAAGAGUGUUUGAAGAAGACAUUCUCUAUUUUACACUCCAAAUAUAGAGACUGAAGAGUGAAAUAAAGAGGGUUGGAAAUAGAUUACAGUAGAAUGAAAACGAAUUUGCAUCGUUUCAAAUUAUAGAGAAUGAAUAGUAAAAUAGAGAGGGUUGGAGAUGGAAGUACAGUAGAAUGAAAGUGAAUUUGCAUCAUUUCAAAUUCCUAUCUUAAUUGAUGAGAAGGCGGGAGAAAAGGCUAAAUAUUUAGGACCCGUUUGACCAUAAAUAUAUUUGGGAAAAACUUGAAAAUGGUGUUUGGUUAUACAACUUGCCACUACUUGAUAAAUAUAGUUUUCAAAUAUCCCAAGUUUUCAAAUACUAAAAAAAAUUAGUAUUUGGCUAAGUUCUAAUAUUUGAGAAUUUUUAAAAAUUUAAAAAAUACCCCAAACUUUAUAUUUUAUAAAAAAACACCCAUCAUUUAUUAAUUCCAACUACUUCCUCUGUCCCAAUUUAUGUGACUUACUUUCCUUUUUAGUCGGUCCAAAAAAUAAUGACACAUUUUUAUAUUGAGUAACAAUUUAACUAUAAAUUAUCUAUUUUAUACUUAAUGAAAACCACAAGUUUUAAAAGUCUUUCUUUCUUUCUUAAACUCUGUGCCGUGUCAAACUACCUCACAUAAAAUGGGACGGAAGGAGUAAUAUUUAUCUAUCAAAUUACUCCAUUAAUAACUUAUAACCAGAUUGAGAAAAAAAGAACAAUUUAUUUUUAAUGAGUUAUAAGUAAUUCUGAAUCAGUAACAAGUUUGAGUGUGCAAUUAAGGUAUUGCUCUUUCCCAUAUUGCUAUUUUGUUGUGGUUAAUUCUUAUCAAUUAUGUUCUAGGGUUAUUUUUUUUAAUGAACACGUUCAUUAUAAAAUGAUAAUACAAAAUUAAAGGUUUUUUUUUUUUGAAUUAUGGAUAUAGAUCAUAUUUUUUGAAAUAGUCAAAUAUUUCUUUCAAAUUUAUGGGCAAGCGCAUGGUGAAACUUCACCUAAAAAUGAUUUGCCAAGCAUAUUUGGGAAUUUGGAGUCAAACGCUAGCUCAUACUUAAUUAUAUAAUUAUAUUUUUGCAAUAAAAAUAUAUAUUUAUAAUUACACUAUAAUUACAUUAUGGCAAAUAAGCAAAUCAUUAUAAUUACUAUACUAUAUAAUUACUAGGUUAUACUCCCUAUAGUUCAUAUUAACUAAAUUUUUGAGAGAAUGCACCCCAUUAAGAAAAAUAAUUUAGGACAUAAAUUGAACUAUCACUUUACAUUUUUGACCUUUUAGUUAUUCUCAAAUUAUUUUAAAAAAUAGAAAUAAUUUAAAGCAAAAUUAUAAAUAUGAACAACUAACUCUCUUAAACUUAUCACCUAUGUAAAUGAAAUGCAAAUAUAAAAGAAAUUUCCUACAACUCUCUUAUAUAUUGAACAAUUAACUUAUUUUAAACAUUAAAUAAAGACUAAAAAAUCAAUUAUUAUGAUUUGAGGAAGUAUAAUUAUACAAAUUUCAAUCAUUACGUGACCUUCUGAAAAAAAAAAAAACCCUGGGCUAAGACACAAGUGCCAUUCAUUCAUUGUUUUUUUUUUGUUUUUUUUUGUUUUUUUUUUAUUCUUUUUCUUUAUCUUUUCUUUUGAUUCGAUUUCGAAUUUAAUUCCAAAUAUUUAAAAUAUAUUAAUUUCAAACAUAUAUCAAAAUAAGUAAAAAAACUAAAUAAAAUAUUAAAAAAAUUAAAACUUUAAAAUUAAAGGGCACUUUUUUGAAUAUAUAUAUAUAUAUACACGUAAAUUUUUAAAAAUAAUUAAAAGUGAAAAGAGAAAAAAAGUUUAAUGUGAGGAGAGAAAUAGAUAUUUUACAAAUAAAGAAAUGAAAUAAUUAAAUAUUUAUAAUUUUUAAUGUCAAUAAUUAUGUGUAUUAACUCAUUAUAAAAUGACCAAUUAAAAAAAAGACAUGUGUUUCUCUAUGCCAUGUCAGCAUCUAGGGUGUAUUUAUUUUAUUUUAAAAUAAUUUAUUAAGAUAAUAGAACCACAGUUAAGUUUAGAUGUGACGUUGAAAUUUCGAGUAUAGUUCAAUGUAGGGGUGAAAAAACGGAACAACAAUCGAGAAAAGAAACCCAACUAGUGGUUUGGUAUUGAAAAUUCUUUUUUGAACAUAUUUGGGUUGGGUUAGUUUUAACUUUAAAAAGUCAGCCCGAGUCCAAAUCAACUCAACAUUAUAUAUAUAAUUUUUAAAAUUUAUUUUAUACAUAAAAGUAGAUUUUUUCUUAUACUUGUUUAUAGUUUUUAUCUUUUAACAUAUUAUUUCAGUUUGAUUUAAAAUUUUGAACAGUCUAAUAAAUAUUGUAAUUCAUUAUUUUCUUAAUAAAUCCACCAAUUUAUACUAUUUCUAAUAUUCUCGACACCAUAUAGUGCAGGGAAACUUUUAUUUUGUUCUUGUUGUUUGAGGAUGGAGAAUGAUGGUUGACAAAAUAUUGAAUGAAGGAAAUGCAAAAUGCACUACGGAAAGUGUACAUGAUAAACAAAUGAAAAGGCCAAUCUGAAAAAUGAAAAUGGUGCAAAAUUUACACGAAUGUAGGAGUAGUGUGGGAUUAGAUACACAUCUUGAUUUGAAAUUUGUUAAAGACCAGCUCCAGCUGAUUGGUCCACAGAUAAUAUAGCCACGGGAUAUAACCUCUUCCUAGUCAAAUACCUUAAGGCGGUUCUACACCCAACUAAUACAAUGUAGGUACACUUGAAUAAAAAACAAUACAUUAAAGUUGAACUAGUUCCAAUGAAAAUGAUAAUGUGAGACUAACCAGGGUUGUAAUGGAUGUGAAAGUGGGCAAAACUCUCACAUUGGUCGAAAAAUUGACUGAUGGUAUCUUUAUAUGGAUUUGAGUAAUUUUCCCUUCAUAAGCUAACUUUUGAGGUUGAGUUAGACUCAGAUGACAUAUUUUUAAAUGAUAUCAGAUUCAGGUUCAUCCCCGUUUAGGCUUUCGUUAUAUGGACUUGAGCAAUCCUCCCUCAUAAAUUUUGAAUUCAAAUCUUUUUGAGUAUGAAGUCACCUUUGUUAGAAAAUAUUUUACCCCAAUGUAAAACUUUCCAAUGCAAACUCAAAUUUAACCGAGUUUCAAUGCGACUAGACACUACCAUUUAUGGGUUGUCACAUAGCUUUGAUGGCAUCAUUUUUUUCCCCUGUUUCCAGCUCAAUAUACACUCAAUCUUUUUUUCUUACUUUCUGUUUUACUUUGAACCUUCCUCUUUAUUUCCUCAAGCCUUAGACCCCACACGCUCUAGCUACUUAUUUGUUGGUGAGGUGGGGGUGGUAUAAACCCUUAUAAAACCCAAUCUAGCUUUCCAACUCAAAUUCAUCCAACAAACAUUGAAAUCUCUUAAGAAUUAAACAUGGCUUCUUCUUCUAAGUUAGUACUUGUAAUUUGUUUUAUGAUCAGUGCUUUUUGCAUUGCAAUUGGGGCCAAAUUCGAUCAAGAAUUUGAGAUAACAUGGGGUGAUGGCAGAGCAAAGAUACUCAACAAUGGGGACCUCCUAACUCUCUCACUUGACAAAAUCUCUGGCUCUGGUUUUCAAUCGAAGAAUGAAUAUCUCUUUGGUAAAAUUGACAUGCAGCUCAAACUUGUCUCUGGAAACUCUGCUGGCACUGUCACUGCUUACUAUGUAAUUCCCUUAAUUUCUUUUCUUAUAUAAUUUUUGAGCUAUACAUGUUUAUUGAGUUGAAAUGAAAUUGAACUUCUUUUUUGAAAAUUUAUUGCAGUUGUCAUCACAAGGACCAACACAUGAUGAGAUAGAUUUUGAAUUCUUGGGAAAUCUAAGUGGUGAUCCUUAUACUCUCCAUACUAAUGUAUUUAGCCAAGGCAAAGGAAACAGAGAACAACAAUUUCAUCUAUGGUUUGACCCUACUGCUGAUUUCCACACUUAUUCCAUCACUUGGAAUCCACAACGCAUCAUGUAAACAUUCAAUCUUUCUUCAAAUCUAACACAUUCUUUUAAGGAUAAAUCUUGAUUUGGGGUUCUCUUAUUUUUUGAUUGAACAGAUUCUAUGUGGACGGAACGCCGAUUAGAGAAUACAAGAACAGUGAAUCGAUGGGAGUUUCAUAUCCGAAGAACCAAGCAAUGAGGAUAUACUCGAGUCUUUGGAAUGCAGAUGAUUGGGCUACAAGAGGAGGACUUGUCAAGACUGAUUGGAGCCAAGCACCCUUUAGUGCUUCUUACAGAAACUUCAGUGCUAAUGCAUGUAUUCCCAGUUCUUCAUCUUCUUGCAGUUCCAAUACUACAACUUCAACAAGCAAUUCAUGGUUGAAUGAAGAGUUAGAUAACACAAGUCAAGAGAGGCUCAAAUGGGUGCAGAAGAAUUACAUGGUUUAUAAUUACUGCACUGAUUCUAAACGAUUUUCACAAGGAUUUCCAGCAGAUUGUGUUCAGAACAGCUAAGCAUUUACAGUGAAAAAUAGUGUAUUCUUUUAUUUAUUGUACUGAUUCUUUUAUUGUUCUGCAUCAACCAGAAGAUGCAUUAAUUAUUGAGGAUUAGAAACAUCUUAUUAUUGUAUUGACAAUGAAAUAGAUAUAUUCUUUUAUAGCUUAGUGUUUUGGAUAUGAAAAAUUAUGCUACUACAGCUCUUUUGCAAAGUACAAAAGAGGUGAAUUGGCAUCAUUUUUAAAAUUCCUAUCUAAAUUGAUGAGAAGGCGGGAGAAAAGUCAAAUUAUUUAACUUAAUUAUGUAAUAAUAUUUGUUUAAUCAAAUAAUCCAUUUCUAAUUACCCUAUAAUUGAUUAUGACAAAUAAAAAAAUCGUUAUAAUUACUAAAUUAUAUACUCCCUCCGUCCCAUUUUAUGUGAGGUUGUUUGACUCGACACAAAGUUUAAGAAAGAAAGGAAGACUUUUAAAACUUGUGAUUUAAAAUGAAUGAUAUAAAUUUGUGUGACGGUAAAUCAUUUCAUUAAGGGCAAAAUAGAAAUUUUAUAGUUAAAUUGAUAGUACUUAAUAUAUAAAUAUGUCAUUCUUUUUGGGAUUGACUAAAAUAUAAGUAAGUCAAAUAAAUUGGGAUAGAGGGAGUAAUUAUAUAAACAUCGAAUGAAUUAAAUGCACUUUGGAAAGUGCACAUGAUAAACAGUGAAAAGCCCAAUCGAAAAUGGUAAGAAACUGACCCAAUCUAAUUUCCUCCGUCACAAAAUAUUGUAUAUCAUUUAGAGCAACUUUCACAUAUAGCAAAUAAAAAAAUCAUAUUUGUAUGCUAUAGCAAAAUUUGCAUAAUUGCGUUCCAUAACAAACAUAUAUAUGUAUAAUUCGCUAUACAUAUACAAUUGAAAGCUGUCUAUUUCGCUAUACAUAUAUACAAAAAGAAGCAAUUGUAUAAUUCGUUGGCUCCUCUUCAGAAUUGUAUAAUUUCGUUGGCAGGCCAUUUGUAUAAAUUGUUGUUUAAGCCUUCUCGUUUGUAUAAAUUCGUUGACAAAAAUAUUUGUAUAUCAAAAAUCGCUCUCUUUCGCUUUAUACAAACAUAAAUUAUACAUUAUACAAACAUAAAACUGGGCAGGGGAAUGUUUUUAUUGUAUAAUUAUAAGUGUAUAGGAUGAAUAUACAUGUAUUUGCAUGUGUAUAUAUAAUUUUCUCGCGCUUUAUACAAAUAGAAACACAAUUUAUACAAUUCUGUUGUAUAAAACGAGAAAGAGAGAAAGGCAAAAGAGAACUGGGCAGAGAAAUAUUUUUAUUAUAUAAUUAUAAGUGUAUAAGACGAAUAUAUAUGUAUUUGCAUGUAUAUAUACAAUUUUCUCUCACUUUAUAUAAACAGAAACGCAAUUUAUACACUUCUGUUGUAUAAAGCGAGAGAGGCGAGCACAGAGGGAGUGAGCGAGAGAGGAGAGUGGCGAGCGAGAGUUUGAGGGAGAGAGGCGCUGACAAACAGUUUGCUACAUGACACAAUUAAAUCAAAAUGUGAUUAUACCAUUUAAUUUGAAUUAAUAGUUAGCCAUUAUGUACAAUUUUCCCUAUCAUUUAUAUGCCUUAAUCAACAAAUAUCAUAUAUUUAGUAAAAUAUCAAAUGAUUCACUCUUAAUUUUAAAUAGAGAUAUGACACAAGCAUUCUUAGACUAUGAUCGAAAUUUCGGAGAGACACAUAAACUUAACUAAGGUUCUAUCACCCCGAACUCAUUUUUUGAUAUUUUUGUGCACCUUUUAUGCUGACGUGACACCUUCAACCACCCAAGUUGACUGUGUUUGUACACAUGUGUCUGCCAUGUUUGUAAAUGUUUUCUAAAAUUUUUAAAUUUGUUUUUUUUUAAAAUAUUUUUAUUUUUUUUAUCAUAUAUUUAAAUUAAGUUAAUAUAUAUUUUCUUACCUUGUAUCUAAACUUUUUUUUUAAAACUUCAUUCAUUGUUUUUUUUCUUUUAUUUACUCUUUUUAUUUUCUUUGUCUUUCCUUUUGAUUUGAUUUCAAACAUCUUGUAUUUAAGAUAAGUUAAUUUCGAAGGGAUAGCAAAAUAAGUGAAGAAAUCAAAUUAAACAUUAAAAAAAUUAAAACGUUAAAAUUAAAGGAUGCUUUUUUUAAAAAAAAAAAUAAGUAUAAUUUUUAAAAAUAAUUAAAAGUGAAAAGAUAAGAAAUUAAUGAAAGAAAAAAUAUAAAAAGUUUAAAGUGAGAAACAAAAUAAAAUAAAUAUUUUACAAAGAAAGAAAUGUAAAUAAUUAAAUAUAUAUAAGUUUUAAUAUCAAUAAAUAAGUGUACUAACUAAUUAUAAAGUUACCACUUAAAAAAUUACAUGUGUUUAAUUUUGUUCACUCAUCACUUGCCUUAUAAUGUAUUUAUUUCAUUUUAAAUUAGUUUAGAAGGUAAUAGAACCCUUGUUAAGUUUAUACGUAUCUUUGAGAUUUCAGUCAUAAGAAAAAAGAAGAAGUCAUAUUCUAAGGAUACUUGUAAUUUUUAAAUACCUCGAUUUCUUUUAAAUCCAUCAGGUGAUACCAUUUCUAAUCUGACCAAAAAAAGAUACCAUUUCUAAUAUUCUGGACACCAUAUAGUGCACGAAACUUGUAUUUUCUUCUUGGUGUUUGAGCCUGGAGAAUCAUGGUUAAUAAAUAUUAAAUGAACGAAAAUCAAAUGCACAUUGGAAAGUAUACAUGAUAAAGAAAUGAAAUUAAAAAGGCCAAUCGAGGAGCAAAAGUUACACGAAUGUAGUAGAACUGUGGGAUUAUAUGCACAUCUUGAAUUGAAAUUUGUAAAAAGCCAGCUGGUUGGUCCACAGAUAAUAUAGCCACGCUAUAUAAUCCCCUGCUAGACAAAUAUUUUAAGGGGUGACUAAACCCAACUAGUAGAAAUAAUACAAUGUAGGUACACUUGAAUAAACAAAGGGAAACAAUACACAAGUUGAAGUAGUUCGAAUGAUCAACGAGAGUUGUAGUGUAGUGAUAAAUACUUCUUCAUUCUUAAUUAGAAGUUUUAGAUUCGAGUCUCCGGGGUAUAGAGUCGCCUUUGUUAGAGAGCCUAUUCGAUUUGAGAUUUUCCAAUGCGAAUUUAGAUUUAGUCGGACUCCAGUUCCAAUGAAAAUGAUAGUGUGAGGGUUGGAAAGACUCACCAUAUAUGUAUGGGCUGUCACUUAGCUUUGAUGCCAUCAUUUUUAAUCCUGUUUCCAGCUCAAUAUAUGCUCAAAUCUUUUUUUCCUGCUUUCGGUUUUACUUUGAACCUUCCUCUUUAUUUCCUUAAGCAUAACCCCACACGCUCUAGCUACUUCUUUGUUGCUGAAGUGGGGUGGUAUAAACCCUUAUAAAACCUCACUCCAACUCUAAUUCAUCCAACAAAUUAAAGUUUGAAAUCUUUAGAACUAAACAUGGCUUUUUCUUCUUCUAAGUUAAUACUACUUUUGAUGUGUUUUAUGAUCAGUGCUUUUGGCAUUGCAAUUGCAGCCAAGUUCGAUCAAGAAUUCGACGUCACAUGGGGUGAUGGCAGAGCAAAAAUACUCAACAAUGGCGACCUCCUUACUCUCUCACUUGACAAAAUCUCUGGCUCUGGUUUUCAAUCCAAGAAUGAAUAUCUCUUUGGUAAAAUUGACAUGCAGCUCAAACUUGUCGCUGGAAAUUCUGCGGGCACCGUCACUGCCUACUAUGUAAUUCCCUUAUUUUCUUUUUUCUUAAAUGAUUUUUGAGUUUAUUGAGUUGAAAUGGAAUUGAACUUCUUUUUUGAAAAUUUAUUGCAGUUGUCAUCACAAGGACCAACACAUGAUGAGAUAGAUUUUGAAUUCUUGGGAAAUCUAAGUGGUGAUCCUUAUACUCUCCACACUAAUGUAUUUAGCCAAGGCAAAGGAAACAGAGAGCAGCAAUUCCAUCUUUGGUUUGACCCUACUGCUGAUUUCCACACAUAUUCAAUCACUUGGAAUCCACUACGCAUCAUGUAAGUAAUUAAAGAUUCGAUCUUUCUUCAAAAAUAUGUGACUUUUUAAAUCAAAUCUUGAUUUGGGGUUAUCUUAUUUUUGGUUUAACAGAUUUUAUGUGGACGGAACGCCCAUUAGAGAAUACAAGAAUAGCGAAUCAAUGGGAGUUUCAUAUCCGAAGAACCAAGCAAUGAGGAUUUACUCGAGUCUUUGGAAUGCAGAUGAUUGGGCUACAAGAGGAGGACUUGUCAAGACUGAUUGGAGCCAAGCACCCUUUAGUGCUUCUUACAGAACUUCAAAUCUAACACAUUCUUUUGGGAUAAACCUUGAUUUGGGGUUCUCUUAUUUUUUGAUUGAACAGAUUCUAUGUGGACGGAAUGCCCAUUAGAGAAUACAAGAAUAGUGAAUCAAUGGGAGUUUCAUAUCCGAAGAACCAACCAAUGAGGAUAUAUUCAAGUCUUUGGAAUGCAGAUGAUUGGGCUACAAGAGGAGGACUUGUCAAGACUGAUUGGAGCCAAGCACCCUUUAGUGCUUCUUACAGAAACUUCAGUUCUAAUGCUUGUAUUCCCAGUUCUUCAUCUUCUUGCAGUUCCAAUACUACAACUUCAACAAGCAAUUCAUGGUUGAAUGAAGAGUUAGAUAACACAAGCCAAGAGAGGCUCAAAUGGGUGCAGAAGAAUUACAUGGUUUAUAAUUACUGCACUGAUUCUAAACGAUUUUCACAAGGAUUUCCAGCAGAUUGUCUUCAGAAUAGCUGAGCAUUUACAGUGAAAUUUUUUGUAUUCUUUUACUUUUGAUCUAUAAAACUAUUAUAUUGAUUCUUUUAUUGUUCUGCACCAACCAGUAGCAGAGGAUUACAAACAUCUUAAUUUUUAGUUUUGUUACUGAGGGAUCGUUUGGUGAAAUUACACUGUGUGUUUGCCC
This 11827-nucleotide long non-coding RNA is filed under the name Solanum tuberosum (potato). RNAcentral's name for it is "long non-coding RNA (STUB_LNC003832)". Lineage: Eukaryota; Viridiplantae; Streptophyta; Magnoliopsida; Solanales; Solanaceae. The record is from RNAcentral.